RNAcentral lists this ribosomal RNA (413 nucleotides) under uncultured Cellulosimicrobium sp. RNAcentral describes it as "partial 16S ribosomal RNA". It matches the Rfam family "Bacterial small subunit ribosomal RNA", at positions 355 to 774 of the family's 1533-position model. RNAcentral also lists the same sequence under 1 other name. Lineage: Bacteria; Bacillati; Actinomycetota; Actinomycetes; Micrococcales; Promicromonosporaceae. The record is from RNAcentral.
UCGAGGAUCUUCGGCAAUGGGGGCAACCCUGACCGAGCGACGCCGCGUGUGCGACGAAGGCCUUCGGGUUGUAAAGCACUGUCGAGGGGGAGGAAAGCCCGCAAGGGUGUGACCCAUCCCUGGAGGAAGCACGGGCUAAGUUCGUGCCAGCAGCCGCGGUAAGACGAACCGUGCGAACGUUGUUCGGAAUCACUGGGCUUAAAGGGCGCGUAGGCGGGCCGCCGCGUCCGGGGUGAAAUCCUCCCGCUCAACGGGAGAACGGCCUCGGAUACGGGCGGCCUGGAGGGGGGUAGGGGCACGCGGAACUGUGGGUGGAGCGGUGAAAUGCGUUGAGAUCCACAGGAACUCCGGUGGCGAAGGCGGCGUGCUGGACCCCACCUGACGCUGAGGCGCGAAAGCCAGGGGAGCGAACG